CCUACGGGUGGCAGCAGUAGGGAAUCUUUCACAAUGGGCGAAAGCCUGAUGGAGCAACGCCGCGUGCAGGAUGAAGGCCUUCUGGUUGUAAACUUCUUUUAUAAGCGAGAAAUAUGAUGGUAACUUAUGAAUAAUGCUCGGCUCACUCCGUGCCAGCAGCCGCGGUCCUACGUAGGAUCCGAGCAUUAUCCGGAGUGACUGGGUGUAAAGAGUUGCGUAGGUGGCAUAAUAAGGAGAUAGUGAAAUCUGGUGGCUCAACCAUUCAGACUAUUAGCUAAACUGUUAAGCUCGAGACCGUUAGGGGUAACUGGAAUUUCUAGUGUAGGAGUGAAAUCCGUAGAUAUUAGAAGGAACACCAAUAGCGUAGGCAGGUUGCUGGGACGGGUCUGACACUAAGGCACGAAAGCGUAGGGAGCAAACGGGAUUAGAUACCCUAGUAGUC
This 442-nucleotide ribosomal RNA is filed under the name uncultured bacterium. RNAcentral's name for it is "partial 16S ribosomal RNA". It matches the Rfam family "Bacterial small subunit ribosomal RNA", at positions 338 to 795 of the family's 1533-position model. The record is from RNAcentral.